UGGGGAAUAUUGCACAAUGGGCGGAAGCCUGAUGCAGCAACGCCGCGUGAGUGAUGAAGGCCUUCGGGUUGUAAAGCUCUGUCUUUUGGGACGAUAAUGACGGUACCAAAGGAGGAAGCCACGGCUAACUACGUGCCAGCAGCCGCGGUAAUACGUAGGUGGCAAGCGUUGUCCGGAUUUACUGGGCGUAAAGGAUGCGUAGGCGGAUUUUUAAGUGGGAUGUGAAAUACCCGGGCUUAACUUGGGUGCUGCAUUUCAAACUGGGAAUCUAGAGUGCGGGAGAGGAGAAUGGAAUUCCUAGUGUAGCGGUGAAAUGCGUAGAGAUUAGGAAGAACACCAGUGGCGAAGGCGACUCUCUGGACCGUAACUGACGCUGAGGCAUGAAAGCGUGGGUAGCAAACAGGAUUAGAUACCCUGGUAGUCCACGCCGUAAACGAUGAGUACUAGGUGUAGGAGGUAUCGACCCCUUCUGUGCCGCAGUUAACACAAUAAGUACUCCGCCUGGGAAGUACGAUCGCAAGAUU
RNAcentral lists this ribosomal RNA (524 nucleotides) under uncultured bacterium. RNAcentral describes it as "partial 16S ribosomal RNA". It matches the Rfam family "Bacterial small subunit ribosomal RNA", at positions 355 to 895 of the family's 1533-position model. The record is from RNAcentral.